GAGAACCAAAGUAAGUAGAAGCUCCAAGAUCGGAGAGGAGAAUGGCAACAAGACCUACCCAGCUGGUAGAGGGGGACUACACAAGUGGUAGAGGGGAGACUCCAUGGCGGAGAGGAGGAUCUUGCAUUACAAUUUCCAUUUCCUUCCAUAGCUCUUUCUAGUAGCCUUUGGGACUUGAAUUGAGCUGCGUGGGGGCCGCUUAUAUCCAUCUCAAAUCGAAUGGCUCCUACUUUGUAUCUUUUUAGAUGCGUUUGACCCCACGACACCUCGCAAAAUCCCAUCUUCAACCUCUGAAUCAUUUCAAACUUACCCUUAAAGGCCAUGCCCAUUAGACUCCACAAAAUCAAAGCAGGACUCGUUCAAAAAGCUCGAAUCGAAACGUCAUGUUCGAGAAAGAGGACGACCCGUCAACCAUC
This 416-nucleotide long non-coding RNA is filed under the name Eucalyptus grandis. Its description in RNAcentral is "long non-coding RNA (EGRA_LNC007204)". The record is from RNAcentral. Lineage: Eukaryota; Viridiplantae; Streptophyta; Magnoliopsida; Myrtales; Myrtaceae.